This 1104-nucleotide long non-coding RNA is filed under the name Oncorhynchus mykiss (rainbow trout). Its description in RNAcentral is "lncRNA (ENSOMYG00000051746.1)". Lineage: Eukaryota; Metazoa; Chordata; Actinopteri; Salmoniformes; Salmonidae. The record is from RNAcentral.
AUGUUUAAAGGUAUGGCUGCUGUUGCAGUUAAAGAAAGUUGUGCAGAUUCUGUCCCUACUCCCACCAUUGUGUUAGACCCUGGGUACAUCAAUGUUGCUAUGCCUGUCGUAGUACGCUGUGAGUCAACAAGAGGCACAAAGUGCCACUUCUACAAAGACCACGACCCCAACCCAAUAAGAGAAGUGAAUUCCGGUGUUUGCCAAUUCAUAUUGUUCUGGAAUGAGUUCAAAAAGUGGAACAAGACUGAAGUAGAUCUCAGCUGUGCUAUUCUACAGAAGAGAGAAGGGAAAACGAUAUCUUCAGAACGAAGUGACACUCGAAGACUUCAUGUGAGUGAUUCCAUUGGAAUACCCAGGAUUUUUGUGGAAAAUACAGGAACUUAUUUAAGUCUUCGGUGUGAGGCCAAGCAUGCUGGUACCUCAUGCUACUAUUACUUGAACAACAGUGAGUCCCCCUUUAAAAGUCAGCCCUACAAAGACAAUGUCUGUGUUGGGAAAGUAUCGGAAAAGGAUCUGCUGAGGAAGAGGAGCAGUGCUGGAGAGAUCUUCAUCACCUGUGCUGUGGAGCUGGUGGUAGAGGGUGGAGAUAAUGUGACAUCACAGCAUAGUGAACCGUUCAAGAUUGCCAUAGAUGACUCUCCUGGGCCCACCACUUCCUUAUCAACAUUCAGUACCAACAAAACCAGUGUAACUAAUGGAGAAGAGUCCCCCUCGGAGUUCCCCCUCUACAUCAGUCUGAGUGUUGGGGCCUUUAGCCUUAUUCUGCUGGUUGUAUCUGUCCUGUGUUUUCUCCGGUACAAGCGAGGUACAUGCAUUCAAAUACUGAUACUUCAAGGCUUAAUUUGUUCCAAUGUCCAUUCUGAGUUAUUUGUGUAUUAUACAUGUGAAAUCGGGGCUGGUUUAAUCUAUUAUCAUUUCAUAUUUAUUUCUGAAGGUGAUCAACAAGACUGGUCUGCCAAUAGAACCCAAUGGAACCAGAACAAAGAAGUUAUCUGUAAGUAUGAAAGGAAACCUACCACAACAUAUUCAUUUCUCAGAAAAGUGGUUAUAUUCAGUGCUCUACAUUUUACCUUUCUCUUAUUUGAAACAGAUGCAAAUGCUUAA